Molecule: unclassified non-coding RNA, 21 nt
Filed under: Dictyostelium discoideum
Lineage: Eukaryota; Evosea; Eumycetozoa; Dictyosteliales; Dictyosteliaceae
Source: RNAcentral
UGAGGCUUUUCCAUUAGUUCU